This 1536-nucleotide ribosomal RNA is filed under the name Bacteroides xylanisolvens. RNAcentral's name for it is "bacterial SSU rRNA". It matches the Rfam family "Bacterial small subunit ribosomal RNA". The record is from RNAcentral. Lineage: Bacteria; Pseudomonadati; Bacteroidota; Bacteroidia; Bacteroidales; Bacteroidaceae.
CUUUUACAAUGAAGAGUUUGAUCCUGGCUCAGGAUGAACGCUAGCUACAGGCUUAACACAUGCAAGUCGAGGGGCAGCAUUUUAGUUUGCUUGCAAACUAAAGAUGGCGACCGGCGCACGGGUGAGUAACACGUAUCCAACCUGCCGAUAACUCGGGGAUAGCCUUUCGAAAGAAAGAUUAAUAUCCGAUAGUAUAUUAAAACCGCAUGGUUUUACUAUUAAAGAAUUUCGGUUAUCGAUGGGGAUGCGUUCCAUUAGUUUGUUGGCGGGGUAACGGCCCACCAAGACUACGAUGGAUAGGGGUUCUGAGAGGAAGGUCCCCCACAUUGGAACUGAGACACGGUCCAAACUCCUACGGGAGGCAGCAGUGAGGAAUAUUGGUCAAUGGACGAGAGUCUGAACCAGCCAAGUAGCGUGAAGGAUGACUGCCCUAUGGGUUGUAAACUUCUUUUAUAUGGGAAUAAAGUAUUCCACGUGUGGGAUUUUGUAUGUACCAUAUGAAUAAGGAUCGGCUAACUCCGUGCCAGCAGCCGCGGUAAUACGGAGGAUCCGAGCGUUAUCCGGAUUUAUUGGGUUUAAAGGGAGCGUAGGUGGAUUGUUAAGUCAGUUGUGAAAGUUUGCGGCUCAACCGUAAAAUUGCAGUUGAAACUGGCAGUCUUGAGUACAGUAGAGGUGGGCGGAAUUCGUGGUGUAGCGGUGAAAUGCUUAGAUAUCACGAAGAACUCCGAUUGCGAAGGCAGCUCACUAGACUGCAACUGACACUGAUGCUCGAAAGUGUGGGUAUCAAACAGGAUUAGAUACCCUGGUAGUCCACACAGUAAACGAUGAAUACUCGCUGUUUGCGAUAUACAGUAAGCGGCCAAGCGAAAGCAUUAAGUAUUCCACCUGGGGAGUACGCCGGCAACGGUGAAACUCAAAGGAAUUGACGGGGGCCCGCACAAGCGGAGGAACAUGUGGUUUAAUUCGAUGAUACGCGAGGAACCUUACCCGGGCUUAAAUUGCAUUUGAAUAAUCUGGAAACAGGUUAGCCGCAAGGCAAAUGUGAAGGUGCUGCAUGGUUGUCGUCAGCUCGUGCCGUGAGGUGUCGGCUUAAGUGCCAUAACGAGCGCAACCCUUAUCUUUAGUUACUAACAGGUGAUGCUGAGGACUCUAGAGAGACUGCCGUCGUAAGAUGUGAGGAAGGUGGGGAUGACGUCAAAUCAGCACGGCCCUUACGUCCGGGGCUACACACGUGUUACAAUGGGGGGUACAGAAGGCAGCUACCUGGCGACAGGAUGCUAAUCCCAAAAACCUCUCUCAGUUCGGAUCGAAGUCUGCAACCCGACUUCGUGAAGCUGGAUUCGCUAGUAAUCGCGCAUCAGCCAUGGCGCGGUGAAUACGUUCCCGGGCCUUGUACACACCGCCCGUCAAGCCAUGAAAGCCGGGGGUACCUGAAGUACGUAACCGCAAGGAGCGUCCUAGGGUAAAACUGGUAAUUGGGGCUAAGUCGUAACAAGGUAGCCGUACCGGAAGGUGCGGCUGGAACACCUCCUUUCU